This 497-nucleotide ribosomal RNA is filed under the name uncultured bacterium. RNAcentral's name for it is "partial 16S ribosomal RNA". It matches the Rfam family "Bacterial small subunit ribosomal RNA", at positions 28 to 507 of the family's 1533-position model. The record is from RNAcentral.
GAUGAACGCUGGCGGCGUGCCUAAUACAUGCAAGUCGAGCGAACGGACGAGAAGCUUGCUUCUCUGAUGUUAGCGGCGGACGGGUGAGUAACACGUGGAUAACCUACCUAUAAGACUGGGAUAACUUCGGGAAACCGGAGCUAAUACCGGAUAAUAUUUUGAACCGCAUGGUUCAAAAGUGAAAGACGGUCUUGCUGUCACUUAUAGAUGGAUCCGCGCUGCAUUAGCUAGUUGGUAAGGUAACGGCUUACCAAGGCAACGAUGCAUAGCCGACCUGAGAGGGUGAUCGGCCACACUGGAACGGAGACACGGUCCAUACUCCUACGGGAGGCAGCAGUAGGGAACCUUCCGCAAUGGGCGAAAGCCUGACGGAGCAACGCCGCGUGAGUGAUGAAGGUCUUCGGAUCGUAAAACUCUGUUAUUAGGGAAGAACAUAUGUGUAAGUAACUGUGCACAUCUUGACGGUACCUAAUCAGAAAGCCACGGCUAACUACGUG